CACCGCUAAAACGAAUUUGACAUAUGUUUUAUUCACUCACGUGCUAAACAUUUUUUAGUUGUGAACAAAAAAUCUAGUUUUGGUAUAGUUCAAAUCUCAAAAACGAAUAUUUUUAGAACGAAAGUAUUUCCCUGGUGUAUUACGAGAACAAAAACGGAUUCAGAAGCAGUGACAUAUAUUGACAAAUUCUAUUAUUUCAUUUUUAUUUCUAUAUUUCGUUAUGAUUGAAAAAGUUUUGUUGAAAUCUAAGUUCUACGGCAGCCUGAUAGGGGUACUGAUUGGCGACUGCUGUGGAGCUCCAUUUGAAGGGCAAUUGAUGGAUAGCGGUUCAAAGCUUGUACUGAAAAAUUAUUUAAAUAAAUUGGAAGGUCCCUUUUUCAAAGCUCCAUAUAAGAAGUUUACUGACGACACAGCCCUUACAAUAUGUGUUGCCGAUGCUCUAUUGGAUUCAAAAGGUUUUUCUCAAAAACAACUGGCAAAAAACUUUGUUUUGGAAUAUUACAAAGACACAAGACGUGGUUAUGGAUCUGCAGUAGUUGAUGUAUUUGCAAAACUUCGUGCAACUAAAAUGGCAGAUCCUACCGGGCCAGCGUAUGCUCAGUUUGGCGGAAAUGGAUCUUAUGGAAAUGGAGCUGCGAUGAGAGUGACUCCUAUAGCAUUGUUUUGUGCAAAUAGCAACAAAGCCCAUUUGAUGAAACUAGUGCAGGAGGCAUCUUUAGUAACUCAUACAAAUGUAUUGGGAAUUAACGGAGCUAUACUGCAAGCUCUGGCUAUUCGUCAAUGCCUCCAAUUAGAUCCAAAUGAAACUCUUGACAGAAAAAAAUAUCUUUCAGAACUGAAGGAAGAUAUUGUCAUACUUGAGAAAAAUAACGACGCUGACCUAGAUAGUAAUUACAAUGCUUAUGAAAAGCAACUAAAUGCUGUUCAGUUAUUGUUGGAGGGAGAUGUUGAGCCUAGUGAUGAAAACGUUUUAAACAUGCUUGGUCACAGCACUGAGGCGUUAUAUUCAGUUCCAACGGCACUUUUUUGCUUUUUGAGGUGUACGUCUGGCUCGCUCAAAGACGUGAGUAUGAUGCCACAAUAGGUUUCAUUGUGAUAACGAUAAUUUAUAAUUUGAUCUGUGACAAACCUAGUUGGGAAUCGAACAAGCGUAGUUGAUAAUGUCUUAAUCAACCAGGCUAGUGAUAGUGCUAACUCCUCACCAUCUAUCCAACUGGGUUAGUUUUAAUUCUAGCAGAAACCGGGUGAUUUUCAGUGCCGUAAAAUCUCGAAAUACGAAUUUCAUCGAACGAGAUAGUCAAGACGUUGGUACCGAUCCAUUGCUUGACGGGUAGUUAUUACUCUGGAUGUAAUUGUCUCCCGAGGUGACUGUGAUGGUCAUAAUAUCGUGAGAAUGAGGCCAAAGAAAAAUGAGCAUGAUAAGAAAAAUGUUUGAACUGUUGAUGCUAUUGCAUUUGUACUUCAAUAGUAUUUGCCAAAUUAACACAAAACACAUUAAUAUGGGUACACGUAAGAACAAAAAAUUACCUGUGUACUGUAUACAUAUAUUUUGUCUAUAAAAAUGCAUAUUUUCUUUUAUAAUGGACUGGAAACUAAUGUUUGAGCAGAAUCUAAACUGCAGUUGUUGCAAACAUAUAGAAAGAUCAACGUUCAUUUCGUGAUACUUUGGAAUAUGCUAUAUCAUUGGGAGGAGAUACCGAUACUAUUGCUAGUAUGGCGUGUGCCCUAAGUGGAGCUUAUUUUGGAGAUGCUGCUGUGGUGGAAAACCUACUAAAAC
RNA transcript from Wyeomyia smithii (pitcher-plant mosquito), 1777 nucleotides. It is a transcript of the gene named ADP-ribosylhydrolase ARH3-like, with no coding region annotated. Lineage: Eukaryota; Metazoa; Arthropoda; Insecta; Diptera; Culicidae. The transcript is spliced from 3 exons. The record is from RefSeq and is a predicted model, not a curated record.